This is a long non-coding RNA of Ficedula albicollis (Collared flycatcher), 310 nucleotides long. RefSeq lists it as uncharacterized. The transcript is spliced from 3 exons. Lineage: Eukaryota; Metazoa; Chordata; Aves; Passeriformes; Muscicapidae. The record is from RefSeq and is a predicted model, not a curated record.
UUGAAGGAAGGGAAGACCCCAGAGGAGAUGGAUAAAAUCUGUCUCCUGAUAUUUAGUGAGGAUGCAGCAGUACAUCCUCAAACCUGUUAAAUGACAAGAUGCACCUGGCCAUGAGGAUGAACGCUGGCCACGCUGGGGUGGACAAAGCCAUCAGGAUGCUCUGGGGCAGGACAUGGGGAUUCCUGGAGCACCUCCUGGUCCGGCCUCAGCAGCUGCAGGUUCAGACACACCAAGCAGAGGGUGUUUCAGAUGAGGCUGCUCAGCAUGUUUGCAGAACAAGCCCCAGGCCUGCCACAAUCACACCAUGAAG